CCUAGUUCUAACCCUAAACGAUGCUAACUAGCUAUUCGCCGUCGUUAUUCCCAUGACGUGGCGAGACGCCCCCGGGAAACCUCAAGUCUUUGAGUUCCGGGGGUAGUAUGGUUGCAAAACUGAAACUUAAAGGAAUUGACGGAAGGGCACCACCAGGAGUGGAGCCUGCGGCUUAAUUUGACUCAACACGGGAAACCUCACCAGGCCCGGACACCAGAAGGAUUGACAGAUUAAGAGCUCUUUCUCGAUUUGGUGGGUGGUGGUGCAUGGCCGUUCUUAGUUGGUGGAGUGAUUUGUCUGGUUAAUUCCGGUAACGAACGAGACUCUGGCCUACUAACUAGUGGAUGGGUGUUCUGGUAACGGGCCCCAUCCGAUAAUGUCUUCUUAGAGGGAUGAGCAGCGAGUAUAGCUGCAGGAGAUUGAGCAAUAACAGGUCU
RNAcentral lists this ribosomal RNA (437 nucleotides) under Synalpheus brevifrons. RNAcentral describes it as "SSU rRNA". It matches the Rfam family "Eukaryotic small subunit ribosomal RNA", at positions 1019 to 1463 of the family's 1831-position model. The record is from RNAcentral. Lineage: Eukaryota; Metazoa; Arthropoda; Malacostraca; Decapoda; Alpheidae.